Molecule: long non-coding RNA, 238 nt
Filed under: Gossypium barbadense (sea-island cotton)
Lineage: Eukaryota; Viridiplantae; Streptophyta; Magnoliopsida; Malvales; Malvaceae
Description: long non-coding RNA (GBAR_LNC017310)
Source: RNAcentral
AAGUCCAUAAAAAUUAAUCAUAACUCAUAUCACUUCUGAACUCAUAUCAAAACUCAUUUUAGAAAUUGAUACUAUGCCUGAACUUAACUGAGCAGCUCUGAUGUUCUCUUGCCAUCACUUUUUCACUAGUAGUAUGACUACCAAGAAAUUUCCAGUAAUUGUCUGUCGAAACAUAACUGAGAAACCCGAAUUAUCUUAUUUAAUACCUUUGAACGAAGAUCUUGGAAACCCAUCCAGC